AGAAUCAACGCUGGCGGCGUGCCUAACACAUGCAAGUCGCACGAGAAAGGGGCUUCGGCCCUGAGUAAAGUGGCGCACGGGUGAGUAACACGUGAAUUAUCUACCUCCGAGUGGGGAAUAACUGAGAGAAAUCUUAGCUAAUACCGCAUAACACUCACGAGUCAAAGCAGCAAUGCGCUUGGAGAGGAGUUCGCGGCCGAUUAGUUAGUUGGCGGGGUAAUGGCCCACCAAGACGAUGAUCUGUAU
RNAcentral lists this ribosomal RNA (246 nucleotides) under uncultured bacterium. RNAcentral describes it as "partial small subunit ribosomal RNA". It matches the Rfam family "Bacterial small subunit ribosomal RNA", at positions 26 to 286 of the family's 1533-position model. The record is from RNAcentral.